CUUGCUCUUAUGGGUGGCGAGUGGCGGACGGGUGAGGAAUACAUCGGAAUCUACCUUUUCGUGGGGGAUAACGUAGGGAAACUUACGCUAAUACCGCAUACGACCUUCGGGUGAAAGCAGGGGACCUUCGGGCCUUGCGCGGAUAGAUGAGCCGAUGUCGGAUUAGCUAGUUGGCGGGGUAAAGGCCCACCAAGGCGACGAUCCGUAGCUGGUCUGAGAGGAUGAUCAGCCACACUGGAACUGAGACACGGUCCAGACUCCUACGGGAGGCAGCAGUGGGGAAUAUUGGACAAUGGGCGCAAGCCUGAUCCAGCCAUACCGCGUGGGUGAAGAAGGCCUUCGGGUUGUAAAGCCCUUUUGUUGGGAAAGAAAAGCAAUCGAUUAAUACUCGGUUGUUCUGACGGUACCCAAAGAAUAAGCACCGGCUAACUUCGUGCCAGCAGCCGCGGUAAUACGAAGGGUGCAAGCGUUACUCGGAAUUACUGGGCGUAAAGCGUGCGUAGGUGGUUGUUUAAGUCUGUUGUGAAAGCCCUGGGCUCAACCUGGGAAUUGCAGUGGAUACUGGGCAACUAGAGUGUGGUAGAGGGUAGUGGAAUUCCCGGUGUAGCAGUGAAAUGCGUAGAGAUCGGGAGGAACAUCCAUGGCGAAGGCAGCUACCUGGACCAACACUGACACUGAGGCACGAAAGCGUGGGGAGCAAAC
Molecule: ribosomal RNA, 702 nt
Filed under: Stenotrophomonas sp. 100-p8_G2
Lineage: Bacteria; Pseudomonadati; Pseudomonadota; Gammaproteobacteria; Lysobacterales; Lysobacteraceae
Description: bacterial SSU rRNA
Rfam family: Bacterial small subunit ribosomal RNA
Source: RNAcentral